Molecule: non-coding RNA, 127 nt
Organism: Capsicum annuum
Lineage: Eukaryota; Viridiplantae; Streptophyta; Magnoliopsida; Solanales; Solanaceae
Source: Rfam
CCCAUCGCUCCUACCGAUUGAAUGAUCCGGUGAAAUGUUCGGAUUGUGGUGACGUGGGUGGUUCGCUACCCGCGACGUCACGAGAAUUCCAUUGAACCUUAUCAUUUAGAAGAAAGAGACGCCGUUA